GAUGAACGCUGGCGGCGUGCCUAACACAUGCAAGUCGAGCGAAGCGGUUUUAAGGAAGUUUUCGGAUGGAAUUAAAACUGACUGAGCGGCGGACGGGUGAGUAACGCGUGGGUAACCUGCCUCAUACAGGGGGAUAACAGUUAGAAAUGGCUGCUAAUACCGCAUAAGCACACAGCUUCGCAUGGAGCAGUGUGAAAAACUCCGGUGGUAUGAGAUGGACCCGCGUCUGAUUAGCUAGUUGGUAAGGUAACGGCUUACCAAGGCGACGAUCAGUAGCCGACCUGAGAGGGUGACCGGCCACAUUGGGACUGAGACACGGCCCAAACUCCUACGGGAGGCAGCAGUGGGGAAUAUUGCACAAUGGGGGAAACCCUGAUGCAGCGACGCCGCGUGAGUGAAGAAGUAUCUCGGUAUGUAAAGCUCUAUCAGCAGGGAAGAAAAUGACGGUACCUGACUAAGAAGCCCCGGCUAACUACGUGCCAGCAGCCGCGGUAAUACGUAGGGGGCAAGCGUUAUCCGGAUUUACUGGGUGUAAAGGGAGCGUAGACGGCGGAGCAAGUCUGAAGUGAAAGCCCGGGGCUCAACCCCGGGACUGCUUUGGAAACUGUUCUGCUAGAGUGCUGGAGAGGUAAGUGGAAUUCCUAGUGUAGCGGUGAAAUGCGUAGAUAUUAGGAGGAACACCAGUGGCGAAGGCGGCUUACUGGACAGUAACUGACGUUGAGGCUCGAAAGCGUGGGGAGCAAACAGGAUUAGAUACCCUGGUAGUCCACGCCGUAAACGAUGAAUGCUAGGUGUUGGAGGGCAAAGCCCUUCGGUGCCGCCGCAAACGCAAUAAGCAUUCCACCUGGGGAGUACGUUCGCAAGAAUGAAACUCAAAGGAAUUGACGGGGGCCCGCACAAGCGGAGGAACAUGUGGUUUAAUUCGAUGAUACGCGAGGAACCUUACCCGGGCUUAAAUUGCAAAGGAAUAAUCUGGAAACAGAUUAGUCUUCGGACCUUUGUGAAGGUGCUGCAUGGUUGUCGUCAGCUCGUGCCGUGAGGUGUCGGCUUAAGUGCCAUAACGAGCGCAACCCUCGCCGCCAGUUACUAGCAGGUAAUGCUAAGGACUCUGGCGGGACUGCCAUCGUAAGAUGUGAGGAAGGUGGGGAUGACGUCAAAUCAGCACGGCCCUUACGUCCGGGGCUACACACGUGUUACAAUGGGCGGUACAGAAGGCAGCUACCUGGCGACAGGAUGCCAAUCCCAAAAGCCGCUCUCAGUUCGGACUGGAGUCUGCAACCCGACUCCACGAAGCUGGAUUCGCUAGUAAUCGCGCUUCAGCCACGGCGCGGUGAAUACGUUUCCCGGGCCU
Molecule: ribosomal RNA, 1351 nt
Filed under: uncultured bacterium
Lineage: Bacteria
Description: partial 16S small subunit ribosomal RNA
Rfam family: Bacterial small subunit ribosomal RNA
Source: RNAcentral